GUCAGAGCUGGGCGGGGCAGCCGGGUCGUAGAGGCGGGCGCCAGUCGCGGUCGGUGGAGAGGGAUGAGGAUGUAGGAGGGACGGACGUGGCGGAAGCCGCGGGGACUGCGGGGGCGGAGUGCCUCUGGGGAGCCAGGGAGGCCUUUCCAGAGGCUCCUGGGGGAAGAAGAGGCGAAGCGAGAGUCCCCGGGGAAGCCCUACUCCACCCCCAGCCGGAGCCUGGGUUGUGCCUGCACGGACCAGAGCCCACAGUGCGAGUUGCUGUAGGCAACCAGCUAGGGUGGCCAACUUCUCCCGGUUGGCCCGAGAUGUUCUGGUUUUGGGACCACAGCGUCCCAGGCCUCCAGCCCACCACAGUGACCAUAUUGUGCGCCCCCUGCCCAUCUUCUCCCGCAGCUUCCCUAGAUUAGGCUUGGGAGGCAAGGGGAGGCCUCCUGACUUUUCUCACUGCCUUCGUUAAUAUAAAGAUGAAGGCACACUCCACAACUUCCUUCUGGCCAGGCCCAGACAUGUCUGUCCUUGUGAGAUAAAAGCUUCCAUGGGAGCCUUCCUUCCUAAUCAAGAUGCAAAUAGUACGGUAUUCCGAACAGACACUAAAAAUAGCUGUCAUCUCAAAGAAUCCAGUGCUUGUGUCACAGUAUGAGAAAGUAGAUGCUGGGGAACAGCGUUUAAUGAAUGAAGCAUUCCAGCCAGCCAGUGAUCUCUUUGGACCUUGCAUUCUCCAUCAGAUUGGAUCACCUCCCACCCUGAGGCCCCCCAAGACUUUGAACAGUUCUUCAGUCAUCCUUACAGAAAGAUACCCUCUCCAGACAAACGCAGUAUUUAUAUACGGUCCAUUGGAUCUCUAUGAAGCACCAGAAUUAUCAGUGAAGAAUAUAUUAAAUGGCUCACGGGCUACUGUAAAGCAUAUUUCUAUCGCUUGAGAGUAAAACUGCUAGAACCAGUUCCUGUUUCUACAACAAGGUGUUCCUUUAGAGUCAAUGAGAACACACAAAACCUACAAAUUCAUGCAGGGGACAUCCUGAAGUUCUUGAAAAAGAAGAAACCUGAAGAUGCCUUCUGUGUUGUGGGAAUAACAAUGAUUGAUCUUUACCCAAGAGACUUGUGGAAUUUUGUCUUUGGACAGGCCUCUUUGACAGAUGGUAUUCCGUUUUUGGCAUUGUUGUUAGAA
RNAcentral lists this long non-coding RNA (1171 nucleotides) under Homo sapiens (human). RNAcentral's name for it is "non-protein coding lnc-GNA13-2:11". The record is from RNAcentral. Lineage: Eukaryota; Metazoa; Chordata; Mammalia; Primates; Hominidae.